Molecule: unclassified non-coding RNA, 253 nt
Filed under: uncultured Caryophanales bacterium
Lineage: Bacteria; Bacillati; Bacillota; Bacilli; Caryophanales
Description: uncultured Bacillales bacterium contains 16S-23S intergenic spacer region
Rfam family: Bacterial small subunit ribosomal RNA
Source: RNAcentral
UACGGAGGGUGCAAGCGUUAUCCGGAUUUAUUGGGCGUAAAGCGCGCGCAGGCGGCCUCUUAAGUCUGAUGUGAAAGCCCACGGCUCAACCGUGGAGGGUCAUUGGAAACUGGGGGACUUGAGUGCAGAAGAGGAAAGUGGAAUUCCAUGUGUAGCGGUGAAAUGCGUAGAGAUGUGGAGGAACACCAGUGGCGAAGGCGACUUUCUGGUCUGUAACUGACGCUGAGGCGCGAAAGCGUGGGUAGCGAACGGG